AAAUCAGCCAAUAUCACAAAUUAUGUCAAUACGGUUAUCGUUUACCGCGACUGGCGUAGCAGCAUUUACCACAGCUAUUCUUCCUGUGAUGCUCAAUUCUUCAAUGUAUUAAAGACCUCCUAGAGGCUGGCUGUACCAAGUCAUCCCAUGACUCCCUGCAGAGGUUUAAGUCGCGUGGCUCAGUGUCAAGUUAAGCUGAAUGAGAAAUCUGAAAGGAAGAGAGAAGAAUGUUGUCCCCCCCCCAAACAACCCUGGCCAAAUACUACUGCAAUGUUUGACAACGACUUCAUGAACAGUAUGUAGUGUGUUACGAAUAAAAUGUUAUGCAGAGCUGAUGUGCAUGCAACAUGUUUGAGUUACACAUUAAAGCCAUGGUAUGUUAAAGAAAAAUCAAGGGAACCGAAAUUACUUAACUUGCACCCAUGACACUGAAGUGAUGCAGUAAUUGCGAGACAAGCUUGCAGCUCUUGAUCUUAAUGUGACUGGAUUCUCAGUGUUCCAUCACAGGUUAGGCCAUCCCAGAGGACAAAUUAAGACAAUUUUUAGGCAAUUUGACCUGAGAAACCAAAGGGAAAAGAAAAAAGGCACACACAAACACAAAGAGAGCGGGGCUUCUGCGAAGGACGUCGGGGGGAGGGGGUUCGGAUUUAAGCUCAAGCGCACAAGGGGUUGGUAUGUCAUUCAGGGGCCACACUCAUAUUUGCCGACAGCGUCCACAGAUGGCUUUGCAUUCAGAGGCAGGCGAGAUCGGAGCGGACAGACGACGAGAAUGAUCUGAAACAAAGAGUGAUCUACACAACACCCACCACACAAUACUCAAAGAUUCGAGUUCUACUCAUCUUAUGGUUUUUAAGAUGCAAAGCAAUAGGGCCCCGUGGCCAAAGAGGAAUAUGCUAGUAAAGCAUUGUUGUUACUGAUGAUUUGAGGUUAACAUAAAGCCAGUUCCAAGAUGUCAUUUUGUCAACUACAACAUUGCAGAAGUUUCAUUUUGACAAGUUAAGCCAACAUCUUACUACAUGCUCCGGGUUAGAGGACUUCACGCGUGCUCGAACCAGUCUUGCACUUGAUUUCUGUGAAGAGAAGCGUAGGGAUACACCCAACCAAAACCAAUGCACAAUAUAAAACUACAGCAACACAUUUGCGCUGCAUUUCAGGUCAAAUUAAAGCUGCACAAUGCACAGCUUUCCUCAGCUGCUUACAUUUUGAAAAAGUCGCACAGUUGCGCGAUUGCGAGUAAUUAUAUAUGAUCAACCUGCCGCUUGCACAGUUGCGCAAGGGCGAGCAGCUGAGGGCUAAUUGUUCCAAUCUAUACACAAAAAGCAACCUGACUCCCGUUUGUUCAAGCGUGCUGGUUGAUUUCAAAGUGCAGGAUGAUUCCUGUGUUGUCCUAGGUGGACUGCAUUCUUCCUUUGGACUGUUCUGUAAGAUCAAAGAGGCAGACAAUAGACACCCCUAUGCCCCCCCUCACAGUAUCGUAGAACUGACUAUUGUUAUCCUUACCCAAAUGCUUUACUGCAGAUAACGUCAGAAUCAAUGAGGGCACAUCAAAUCUUCCCGUUAUCACAAGACUCUUGUUAAGAAAGCACAACAGUGCUAUUUCUACAGUCAAGUAUAGCAAGUUGCUUUCACUUCAAGAACAAAUGAGGGCAGUUGAGCCCAGUCAAGAUAAGUGACCCCUCUAGGGUUGAGAAUGUUCUGCUUUCCAACAUCAACAUCUGAUGGAUUCAACUUAUCUGCCUUCAAUUUCCACUUUGAAAAGGAUGUCAUUCGAGCCCAGGUCACAUCCGUGCUCUACAAUGCUCCAAGCUUUAGUCAUACCUGAAAAAGCACAAGAAAAGCUCCCCCACACAAGCCCCCAAAAAGAACAAAUGCAUACCAAAACUGUAUUCAAUCACAACAAGCUAUGCAUUUAUUAUGCAAUAAGAAUCCUUUACAGAUAGUUCACUCAUUGUAUUAUCAAUACAAGGCAUUGUAACUAAUUGCAAAGGAAUUGCAAUGGAGGUAUUUAGCCAGACAAUGAAUGUUAAAGAGAAAUGUGAACACAUUUAGUGACCUUACGUGUGAUGCUCGAUGCGCAAGGAAACUUGUACAAACAAUGAGUUAGGGGAGUUCCUGAUGGUCUCGGGGAUUGGAAAGCGCACAGGACACAGCACACUGAAAAAUGCAAAGGAAAAAGCCUCUCUCCCCACAAUACCCCUCCAAUGAUGCAGUACAGAACUACAAGACAAUCACUAGCAUUACUCCCUUAAUAAGGACACAACUGUACGACUAUGAAUAUUCAUAAAAAGAUGAGCAAUUUUCCAUAAGAACAUUUAAAUACCGCAGGCCUGAACGCGAGGGAUUCCUUCCUUACGAACUGUAGACGUGGACUUGAAUGGAGAUAUUUGAAGGGCGGGCCAUACAACUUAAUCUGCAAGAGUCACAAAUAAACAAGCCCCUCCCAACCCCACAAAGCAACUUGAAGCCUGUACAGAAUUACAAUGACUUCUAGUAAAGAGACUUGUUACCGCACUCCCUGGGAAAACAGAGCUUCUUGCUACACCAGGAGACUAGUUUUGAAGUUGCUAUCCUGCGAGGCAAAGAGUCCGCUUGAAUCUUGUUGGGUGCACCUGGAUGUUUCCUAGUGAAGCCAUUUUGCGUUGGGUAAGAUGGAGCUGUGAAGUCUAGGGAAGAGACUGAUUAACGGCCCACAACCCCCCACCCUCCCAUUACCAAAUGUUGUGCAUGAAACCCAAUUUACAACACCUUCCAAAUAUUGUAGAAUCAAAAUUAAUCUAAUGGAUUUUAUUAAACAAUACCAAAUACCUUCCUACAUCUCUUUGAAACCGCUUUGGGUGUGAAUGAUCCCGAUCCAUAGAACUAUAGUAAAUAAGAUGAGCUCAACCUGUACCGAGCGGCUAGCGCAGGGGGAUUCUUUCGAUGAUCAGCUUUAGGGGGGUCAGGCCUGUGAAAAGAAGAACUCGAAACACGUUUUAAAUACCCCCUCCCCCUAACCCUCAAAGAAAACUUAAUCAGGAUCAACUAUUUCAAUACAUAUUUUUUUGUUUUGAUAGCAAAAAUACUUGACAGCAUAGGCAAUGAUGAGUUAAUGUACAGGAUAGUUACACCCACAUGUACAUUUCAUGCAUUAACUCACUGCUCAGGUUAAGAGGUAGAUGUAGCUGAUCUGUACCAAUGAUGCGCAGCUGAAGCACUGAAGGGUCGCUGAAUACACACAUCAAUCGGCCGCACGGAAGACCAUCCACUCUCACACUCCAAUGCCGACAGCUUCCUUGGGGUAGACCUAUCGAACACCAACAACAAAAGGACUGCCUCUCCCUCCGGCCGGGGGGAACUACUUGUGGUCGCAGGGGGUAGAGAAGUCCGAUAAGGAUGUUCCAUCUCUCCAGCACACUACCAAGGCAUUCACCACAGCAGACACCACCACACUCAAGUCAGCGCACAACAGGAGGGGUGACCACGGUACAAAACGCUUUACACGGCUUGCCUGUAAAGAGGAAGAGAGAGCUGUGCGAGUAAUUGUGUUCUACAACAAUUGUUUCUGGAAUGUGGAAAAUCUAAAUGCCUGAGUGUUACAGAGAUACCUCUACCCAAUAUACAAACCAAAGCCUUGCUUUAAACUUGUGAAGCUAGAAGACACUUGUUCGCCCUUUACCACCCUCUCAUCACUGGCUGGCUUGCUCGCUCUGGAACUGCUGCAACUGCUUCAGCGAUGGCCACUCUGCUGCUGCUGCUACCCUGCACUGCGCCUUUGGCUCCCUCUGGUGUACACUCGCCGACAGCUGCUGCCUGCUCUCUCGGGCCCCCUCUGCUCUCCCCUCCACGCCCUCUGGUCCUGUCCUGCCUGGAGCAACUCUGGUCCUCACGCCCUCUGGUCCUGUCCUGCCUGGCUCCACACUCUGGUCCUCCCCGUGUCCCAUGGUCUCGCGCCGCGCUGGUCCUGGUGUUCCUCUAAUAACUAAGUCCAUUCCUCCCCUCGAUAACUCAGUCCUGUGGUUUUCCUCUAAUAACUAAGUCCAUUCCUUCCCUCGAUAACUCAGUCCAUUUCCCCCCUGAAAAAAAAAUCUUCUGUCUUGGAUUCCUUGGAAGCUGCUUUACAACUAGAUUUCCUGUGUUGUUUCUUUGAUCAAAGAAAUACAAUCACCAACAAAAUUACCAACAAUUUUUUUAAAAAAAAAAAAGAAAUAACCACUCUGGGCCAAUCUUUGCAAGCUUGCCAUUUUUUUUUUUUUUUUUUUUUUUUUAAGAUAUAACCACUCCGGGCCAUCUUUGCAAGUUUUUUUUUUUUUUUAAAGAAAUGACCACUCUGGGCCAUCUUGGCAAGUUUUCUUUUUCUUUUUUUUUUUUUUAAUAAAUGACCACUCUGGGCCAUCUUGGCAAGUUUUCUUUUUUUUUUUUUUUUUUUUAAGAAAUGACCACUCUGGGCCAUUUUUGCAAGCUUGCUUUUUUUUUUUUUUAAAAAGAAAUAACCACUCUGGGUCAAUCUUUGCAAAUUGAAGUUUGCUUCUUUUCUUUUUUUUAAGAAAUAACCACUCUGGGUCAAUUUUUGCAAGUUGAAGUUUGCUUUUUUUUAUGAAUAAUGAAAUUACUUGAAUAACUGCUCUCUGGGAUUUCUGCAGGUUGAAGUUUGCUUUUUUUUUUUUAAAUUAAGAAAUAACCACUCUGGGCCAAUCUUUGCUUUUUUUUUUUUUUUUUAAAUAAAUAAAUAACUUGAAUAACCCCUUUCUGUGAUCUUUGCAGGUCGAAGUCUGCUUUUUUGUUAUUAAAUAACCGCUCCCUGGGAUCUUUGCAGGUUGAAGUCUCCUUUUUUUUUUUUUUUUUUUAAAGAAAUAACCACUCUGGGCCAAUCUUUGCUUUUUUUUUUUUUUAAAUAAAGAAAUAACUUGAAUAACCCCUUUCUGUGAUCUUUGCAGGUCGAAGUCUGCUUCUUUUUUUUUUAAAUAACCACUCCCUGGGAUCUUUGCAGGUUGAAGUCUGCUUUUUUUUUUUUUUUUUUAAAUAAAUAACCGCUCUCUGGGAUCUUUGCAGGUUGAAGUCUGCUUUUUUUUUUUUUUUUUAAAUAAAUAACCGCUCUCUGGGAUCUUUGCAGGUUGAAGUCUGCUUCUUUUUUUUUUUAAAUAACCACUCCCUGGGAUCUUUGCAGGUUGAAGUCUGCUUUUUUUUUUUUUUUUUUAAAUAAAUAACCACUCUCUGGGAUCUUUGCAGGUUGAAGUCUGCUUUUUUUUUUUUUUUUUAAAUAAAUAACCGCUCUCUGGGAUCUUUGCAGGUUGAAGUCUGCUUUUUUUUUUUUUUUUAAAUAAAUAACCGCUCUCUGGGAUCUUUGCAGGUUGAAGUAGCAUUCUUGCCUUUCUAUUCUGAAAUAUUGCUUUAUGACAAAGUCAGUUGACUCAUGUCUAAACCUCAUCGGCUUCUCAUUCAAUACGCACUUCAUACAGGGCUAUUUUGUUAUUUGUCAAAAGCAAACAAAACAAAAACACAUCUGGUAUCUCGAUGAGAUUGCUAGCCUAGCCGCUGGUCAAAUCCUGACCACGCCCUUUUACAUUUGUAUUGGUGCGUCACGAGUUAUUCAAAAAUCAACCAAUAGGCGACAGUUGGAGGCUGCUACGUCACGGCUCCCAUCUUGAGCCAACUGCCGUUAAAGAAUUUAGAAUCACGGAGCUGGAUUUGAAUCAUUUUAAAAAUAUGAACGUUUAAAACUUACUGGUUCAGGUUACGUCACAGUAAACAUCUGGUUAACAAGACCAACGUCAUGACGUUGUCAUUAAAGUAGGAGCCUAUAUUUGACUGGCCUGGCCUGCCGUUAGCUAGUAACGACUGUAAAAAUACGCAGCAUAUGUCUCGUAUAAAGGCAGUUUUUCAUUGAAAGGUGCUCGCUGAUGCGUAUUAAAUAAACAGAAAGCUUGAUAACAAAAAGUUUUGCGUAAAAA
Long non-coding RNA from Sebastes umbrosus (honeycomb rockfish), 5927 nucleotides. RefSeq lists it as uncharacterized. NCBI's taxonomy places the organism in Eukaryota, Metazoa, Chordata, Actinopteri, Perciformes, Sebastidae. The record is from RefSeq and is a predicted model, not a curated record. The transcript has 2 exons.